This 367-nucleotide long non-coding RNA is filed under the name Citrus sinensis (sweet orange). RNAcentral describes it as "long non-coding RNA (CSIN_LNC000459)". The record is from RNAcentral. Lineage: Eukaryota; Viridiplantae; Streptophyta; Magnoliopsida; Sapindales; Rutaceae.
AAGAGUUCAGUUAGGAAAAGUAAAAGAAGCCAAUUCAAAAAGAAAAAUCAUGAAAUUCGUGUGUUACAUCUAGAAAAGGCAACAUGAUUGUUAGAUCCACAGCAACAUGAUUCAACCACCCCCCAUAACAACUCUUUAAUCUUCAUUUUUUUAAAAAAUAGCCCAUCAAACAAGAAAUUAACAGAUUCAACCACAUGAUUACAACUGUACACUCAACCAGCUACAAUAUGAAUUAAUUUGCUCCUUGUGGUUGCAUAAUCAGUAUUUUGAGUGUUCCAAUAUAUCUAUAUAUUUGGCUACACUGACCAAUAAUUUAGACUAAUCAAAAUGCCUUUAAUAUUUCACAACGGCCAAGUACUGUGCAAUU